UAAUAUGGAGAGUUUGAUCCUGGCUCAGGAUGAACGCUGGCGGUAUGCUUAACACAUGCAAGUCGAACGGAGAUCGAAAGAUCUUAGUGGCGGACGGGUGAGUAACGCGUGAGAAUCUGCCUCUAGGAGGGGGACAACAGGAAGAGAACAAUAGGACUCUUUUCGCCGAAAGGUCUGCUAAUACCCCAUAUGCCGUAAGGUGAAAGGAUUUUUAAUCUGCCUGGAGAAGAGCUCGCGUCUGAUUAGCUAGUUGGUAAGGUAAUGGCUUACCAAGGCGACGAUCAGUAGCUGGUCUGAGAGGAUGACCAGCCACACUGGGACUGAGAUACGGCCCAGACUCCUACGGGAGGCAGCAGUGGGGAAUUUUCCGCAAUGGGCGAAAGCCUGACGGAGCAAUACCGCGUGAGGGAAGAAGGCCUGUGGGUUGUAAACCUCUUUUCUCAGGGAAGAAGAUAUGACGGUACCUGAGGAAUAAGCAUCGGCUAACUCCGUGCCAGCAGCCGCGGUAAUACGGAGGAUGCAAGCGUUAUCCGGAAUUAUUGGGCGUAAAGAGUUCGUAGGUGGUUUAAUAAGUCUGUUGUUAAAGAUUGGGGCUUAACCCCAAAAAGGCAAUGGAAACUAUUAGGCUUGAGUACGGUAGGGGUAGAGGGAAUUCCCGGUGUAGCGGUGAAAUGCGUAGAUNNNNNNNNNNGGGUUAAGUCCCGCAACGAGCGCAACCCUUGUUUUUAGUUGCCAGCAUUCAGUUGGGUACUCUAAAGAAACUGCCGGUGACAAGCCGGAGGAAGGGAGGGAUGACGUCAAGUCAGCAUGCCCCUUAUAUCCUGGGCUACACACGUGCUACAAUGGCCGGGACAAAAGGUUGCGAACUUGUGAAAGUAAGCCAAUCCUAUAAACCCGGUCUCAGUUCGGAUUGCAGGCUGCAACUCGCCUGCAUGAAGGUGGAAUCGCUAGUAAUCGCCGGUCAGCUAUACGGCGGUGAAUCCGUUCCCGGGCCUUGUACACACCGCCCGUCACACCAUGGGAGUUGGCCACGCCCGAAGUCGUUACCCUAACUAUUUUAGAGGGGGACGCCGAAGGCAGGGCUGGUGACUGGGGUGAAGUCGUAACAAGGUAGCCGUACUGGAAGGUGCGGCUGGAUCACCUCCUUU
RNAcentral lists this ribosomal RNA (1148 nucleotides) under Glaucocystis nostochinearum. RNAcentral's name for it is "bacterial SSU rRNA". It matches the Rfam family "Bacterial small subunit ribosomal RNA". The record is from RNAcentral. Lineage: Eukaryota; Glaucocystophyceae; Glaucocystales; Glaucocystaceae.